GAUGAAGAACGUAGCGAAAUGCGAUAAGUAAUGUCAAUUGCAGAAUUCAGUGAAUCAUCGAAUCUUUGAACGCACAUUGCGCCCGCCAGUAUUCUGGCGGGCAUGCCUGUUCGAGCGUCAUUUCAACCAUCAAGCCCCCGGCUUGUGUUGGGGACCUGCGGCUGCCGCAGGCCCUGAAAAGCAGUGGCGGGCUCGCUGUCACACCGAGCGUAGUAGCAUACAUCUCGCUCUGGGCGUGCUGCGGGUUCCGGCCGUUAAACCACCUUCAUAACCCAAGGUUGACCUCGGAUCAGGUAGGAAGACCCGCUGAACUUAAGCAUAUCAAUAAGCGGAGGA
Molecule: unclassified non-coding RNA, 336 nt
Filed under: soil metagenome
Description: partial contains 5.8S ribosomal RNA, internal transcribed spacer 2, and large subunit ribosomal RNA
Rfam family: 5.8S ribosomal RNA (bases 1-120)
Source: RNAcentral